This 253-nucleotide ribosomal RNA is filed under the name uncultured bacterium. RNAcentral describes it as "partial 16S ribosomal RNA". It matches the Rfam family "Bacterial small subunit ribosomal RNA", at positions 524 to 776 of the family's 1533-position model. The record is from RNAcentral. RNAcentral also lists the same sequence under 1 other name.
UACGGAGGGUGCAAGCGUUAUCCGGAUUCACUGGGUUUAAAGGGUGCGUAGGUGGAUUGGUAAGUCCGUGGUGAAAUCCCCGAGCUUAACUCGGGAACUGCCGUGGAUACUAUCAAUCUUGAAUACUGUGGAGGUAAGCGGAAUAUGUCAUGUAGCGGUGAAAUGCUUAGAUAUGACAUAGAACACCGAUAGCGAAGGCAGCUUGCUACACAGUCAUUGACACUGAGGCACGAAAGCGUGGGGAGCAAACAGG